Molecule: ribosomal RNA, 253 nt
Filed under: uncultured bacterium
Lineage: Bacteria
Description: partial 16S ribosomal RNA
Rfam family: Bacterial small subunit ribosomal RNA
Source: RNAcentral
GACGUAGGGCGCGAGCGUUGUCCGGAUUUAUUGGGCGUAAAGAGCUCGUAGGCGGCUUGUCGCGUCGUUCGUGAAAACUCACAGCUCAACUGUGAGCUUGCGGUCGAUACGGGCAGGCUCGAGUUCGGUAGGGGAGACUGGAAUUCCUGGUGUAGCGGUGAAAUGCGCAGAUAUCAGGAGGAACACCGGUGGCGAAGGCGGGUCUCUGGGCCGAUACUGACGCUGAGGAGCGAAAGCGUGGGGAGCGAACAGG